This 476-nucleotide ribosomal RNA is filed under the name Burkholderia sp. AR1(14). Its description in RNAcentral is "bacterial SSU rRNA". It matches the Rfam family "Bacterial small subunit ribosomal RNA", at positions 1 to 479 of the family's 1533-position model. The record is from RNAcentral. Lineage: Bacteria; Pseudomonadati; Pseudomonadota; Betaproteobacteria; Burkholderiales; Burkholderiaceae.
UCAGAGUUUGACCUGGCUCAGAUUGAACGCUGGCGGCAUGCCUUACACAUGCAAGUCGAACGGCAGCACGGGAGCAAUCCUGGUGGCGAGUGGCGAACGGGUGAGUAAUACAUCGGAACGUGUCCUGUAGUGGGGGAUAGCCCGGCGAAAGCCGGAUUAAUACCGCAUACGCUCUACGGAGGAAAGGGGGGGAUCUUAGGACCUCUCGCUACAGGGGCGGCCGAUGGCAGAUUAGCUAGUUGGUGGGGUAAAGGCCUACCAAGGCGACGAUCUGUAGCUGGUCUGAGAGGACGACCAGCCACACUGGGACUGAGACACGGCCCAGACUCCUACGGGAGGCAGCAGUGGGGAAUUUUGGACAAUGGGCGCAAGCCUGAUCCAGCAAUGCCGCGUGUGUGAAGAAGGCCUUCGGGUUGUAAAGCACUUUUGUCCGGAAAGAAAACCUCUGGGUUAAUACCCCGGGGGGAUGACGUACC